This 867-nucleotide ribosomal RNA is filed under the name Advenella kashmirensis subsp. kashmirensis. RNAcentral describes it as "bacterial SSU rRNA". It matches the Rfam family "Bacterial small subunit ribosomal RNA", at positions 72 to 932 of the family's 1533-position model. The record is from RNAcentral. Lineage: Bacteria; Pseudomonadati; Pseudomonadota; Betaproteobacteria; Burkholderiales; Alcaligenaceae.
AAAGUAGCUUGCUACUUUUGCCGGCGAGUGGCGAACGGGUGAGUAAUGUAUCGGAACGUGCCCAGUAGCGGGGGAUAACUACGCGAAAGCGUGGCUAAUACCGCAUACGCCCUACGGGGGAAAGGGGGGGAUCUUAGGACCUCUCACUAUUGGAGCGGCCGAUAUCGGAUUAGCUAGUUGGUGGGGUAAAGGCCUACCAAGGCGACGAUCCGUAGCUGGUUUGAGAGGACGACCAGCCACACUGGGACUGAGACACGGCCCAGACUCCUACGGGAGGCAGCAGUGGGGAAUUUUGGACAAUGGGGGAAACCCUGAUCCAGCCAUCCCGCGUGUGCGAUGAAGGCCUUCGGGUUGUAAAGCACUUUUGUCAGGGAAGAAAAGGUUUCGGAUAAUACCCGGAACUGAUGACGGUACCUGAAGAAUAAGCACCGGCUAACUACGUGCCAGCAGCCGCGGUAAUACGUAGGGUGCAAGCGUUAAUCGGAAUUACUGGGCGUAAAGCGUGCGCAGGCGGUUCGGAAAGAAAGAUGUGAAAUCCCAGGGCUCAACCUUGGAACUGCAUUUUUAACUACCGAACUAGAGUAUGUCAGAGGGGGGUGGAAUUCCACGUGUAGCAGUGAAAUGCGUAGAUAUGUGGAGGAACACCGAUGGCGAAGGCAGCCCCCUGGGAUAAUACUGACGCUCAUGCACGAAAGCGUGGGGAGCAAACAGGAUUAGAUACCCUGGUAGUCCACGCCCUAAACGAUGUCAACUAGCUGUUGGGCCCUUCGGGGCUUAGUAGCGCAGCUAACGCGUGAAGUUGACCGCCUGGGGAGUACGGUCGCAAGAUUAAAACUCAAAGGAAUUGACGGGGACCCGCACAAGCGG